This 460-nucleotide ribosomal RNA is filed under the name uncultured bacterium. Its description in RNAcentral is "partial 16S ribosomal RNA". It matches the Rfam family "Bacterial small subunit ribosomal RNA", at positions 338 to 795 of the family's 1533-position model. The record is from RNAcentral.
CCUACGGGUGGCAGCAGUGAGGAAUAUUGGUCAAUGGCCGCAGGGCUGAACCAGCCAAGUCGCGUGAGGGAUGACGGUCCUAUGGAUUGUAAACCUCUUUUGUCAGGGAGCAAAGGGCGCCACGUGUGGCGUUUUGCGAGUACCUGAAGAAUAAGCCACGGCUAACUACGUGCCAGCAGCCGCGGUAAUACGUAGGUGGCAAGCGUUGUCCGGAUUUACUGGGUGUAAAGGGCGUGUAGCCGGGUUGACAAGUCAGAUGUGAAAUCCUGCGGCUUAACCGCAGAACUGCAUUUGAAACUGUUGAUCUUGAGUACUGGAGAGGCAGACGGAAUUCCUAGUGUAGCGGUGAAAUGCGUAGAUAUUAGGAGGAACACCAGUGGCGAAGGCGGUCUGCUGGACAGCAACUGACGGUGAGGCGCGAAAGCGUGGGGAGCAAACAGGAUUAGAUACCCGUGUAGUC